RNAcentral lists this ribosomal RNA (19 nucleotides) under Hypoxylon polyporoideum. RNAcentral's name for it is "partial 28S ribosomal RNA". Lineage: Eukaryota; Fungi; Ascomycota; Sordariomycetes; Xylariales; Hypoxylaceae. The record is from RNAcentral.
UUGACCUCGAAUUAAGUAG